RNAcentral lists this ribosomal RNA (501 nucleotides) under uncultured bacterium. RNAcentral's name for it is "partial 16S ribosomal RNA". It matches the Rfam family "Bacterial small subunit ribosomal RNA", at positions 30 to 523 of the family's 1533-position model. The record is from RNAcentral.
AUUGAACGCUGGCGGCAGGCUUAACACAUGCAAGUCGAGCGGGGGAAGGUAGCUUGCUACCGGACCUAGCGGCGGACGGGUGAGUAAUGCUUAGGAAUCUGCCUAUUAGUGGGGGACAACAUCUCGAAAGGGAUGCUAAUACCGCAUACGUCCUACGGGAGAAAGCAGGGGAUCUUCGGACCUUGCGCUAAUAGAUGAGCCUAAGUCGGAUUAGCUAGUUGGUGGGGUAGAGGCCUACCAAGGCGACGAUCUGUAGCGGGUCUGAGAGGAUGAUCCGCCACACUGGGACUGAGACACGGCCCAGACUCCUACGGGAGGCAGCAGUGGGGAAUAUUGGACAAUGGGGGGAACCCUGAUCCAUCCAUGCCGCGUGUGUGAAGAAGGCCUUAUGGUUGUAAAGCACUUUAAGCGAGGAGGAGGCUACUCUAGUUAAUACCUAGGGAUAGUGGACGUUACUCGCAGAAUAAGCACCGGCUAACUCUGUGCCAGCCGCUGCCGUAA